AGCCUGAAGCCAGUCGAUGGUCUUCUUGUCCACUUGGAAAGCCUUGGCGAGGAUUUCAUCCGAGAUGGGGGGAUUCGACCCGAACACAGCAUCGGCGAUGGUGAUGGUGCCAGGGUUUUGGCUGCUGAGAGCACCGAUGGCGAAGGUGUUGGUGUGCCCAGGGUUGAACUGGAAGUGGAUGAGGCCUUGGGGGAACACAAACACAUCACCCUUCUUCAGCAUCUUGGUGAAGAGACGGUUGCCGUCGUCGCUGUUGGAUGUGACGAAGCCGACCAAGAGCUGUCCCUCUAUGACGGUGAGGAUCUCGGUGGCACGGGGGUGAGUGUGGGGCGGGUUGAGGCCAUUGGGGAUGUAGUCGAUGCGAACCAUGGAGAUGCCGAGGGUGUUGAGCCCUGGAAUCUGGAUCACGUUGGCAGGCGUGACAUUGAACCCGAAAUUGUUCUUUCCUGUAUCGCCGGGCAUGUCGAGGCCAGAAAGAGAGAAGUCGUCGGCUUUCACAACCAUGGGGUCCUUGCAGACGAAUCCAUUCACCCGCACUGCAACAGCAGAAGGAAGAAGCAAACUCGGUCGGUAAACAUGCAUCAGGAGAACAAACGCACCGAAGGAAAUUAAUCUGGAUACUAUGAAUACCUUUAGACAUCAUAUCUGCGACACAGAAGUCUUGAAGUUGGCUAGGAUCGGAAGCCAUUGCAAGAGAGGAAGCCAUGGCGAGGAGAACAAGGAGAAACAUUUCGGCGGCCAUCUGUAAUCUCUUAGAUGGAUGGGAUUACCUGGUGCCGUGAUACAGUGGCCUGGAAGAGACGGGUAUAUAUAGAGAAGCAGGCUCUGAAACAUUCAUGAUCAUUAGGUGAAGGAGAUGAAAAGUAUACCAUGUUAGGUUGCUUUCUUCUUGCAAUAUAUUUUCUAUAGCCGUCACCUCGUACGAGAUCCAUAUGAUGCACAGUAACCAUUAAAUUUGUUGACGUGUCUCAGUAACCUAAUCCAUGACCAUUUUAUAUGUAUAUAUAUAAUGAUGGAGCUUUUAGUUAGAUCAUGCUGUAGUGUAAAAUGGACUCUUACGUUCGACUGCAUAAUCCACCACGUGAGAUUUUUGUGACGACCUUACGCUACCAAACAAGAGGAGAAGUCAGCAAAGAUGUGGCAGCUGAACAGAACAAGCUAAGGACAGGUAGAAAGAACAAGAAGCCAAAGAUGUGAUUACCAAUUUGACCUUGUCGGGUCUUGUGUACUGCUACGGCUGAUACCGUGUAUUAUAAUUAAGGUGUUCUACGUCAUCUCCGACUAUUUUCAUCACACUGAGACGUCGCGUGCAUGUUGCAAAGAAGUAUGUAAAUACGUAAGUUCUUAAGAGAUUAUAAGUUGAUAUAAUGCUGUCCAAGAAUAGUAAGCAUGUUGAUAGUUGCCUCUACGUUAAACGCUUAUGGGAUCCUAAGUUAUUAAGAGAUCAUAAGAGAUUUUAAAAAUACUAAAUCUUCGUAUAUAGGUAUACAAGAAUAUUGUACGAUUUAGAUAAAAUCAAUUAUAUUCGUGAUAAAAAUCAAUGAGGUUAGGUGAGAUAAAAUAUUUUUUUUAAUUAAAUAUCUAAAGUAAAAUUAACAUAUCAACAUUACAUUGUUCACAUAAAAUUUAUAAUCAUAUUAUCUAUAAUACGAAAAAAAAAUUAUGUCAAAAUUUAAAAUCAAAUAAUAAUGGAUCUAAAUAAUAUUACGAUGCAUACCUUUCGUUGUUAUUUAGAAGAAUAAAUAUUAUCUGAUCUACAGGCGUAUCAUCGUCGGAUCUAAAUGAAAUACUUCUAUUUAGCCCUUAAGAUCAUAUCUAUUUAUAAACAAAAACAAAGAGUCUAAGAUAAGAUAUUAGAAGAAUUCCUCCCAUAAGGAUAUCCUUGGAAUCCUACUAUAAUAUGAAUUUUUUUUUUAUUAAUCAAUAAUCAUAAUCAGAAUUCAAUCAUAUCUAUAAUAUAUUUUACCUAAUUAAAUAUGACCACACAAUCUAACACUCAAUCAUAAAUCCACGAAUCAUAAAUCCAUAAAAAACCAGAAUUUUUGAACUCAUUUCAACCGAGUUCCCAAAAAGUUUAUUAAGUAAAUAAGAUAUUAUUAUGAAUACAAAACAUUUUAAAGUUUUAUAGAUGAUAAUUCUUUUCUAGAAGGUUCUGCCAGCGAGGAUGAAUAAAAAAAAAAGAAAAAUAUCGAUAUAAUAUUUGUAAUUUAUAUAAAUAUAAACAUUUUUCGUCCAUCCAACUCAGCGACCUCUCUGGCAAUCAGAAAGAUUUCAAUAACGAUCAAACAAAGGCUAAUCGAUUAUUUCAGUCAUCAGAUUUUGGUGGCAACGACAUGUUACCAAACACCAUAAAGAAGCUCUCAAAGUCCGACCACGAGACAAGACAAAGUUGCCAGUACGAAUCCGUCUCCGUUCUUCGACCUCGUUCCAUACUGUAUAUUACGAUCGAAGUGAACUGUGUCAUCUUCAACUAUUUCACCAUCACACUGUUUAUAUAUUAUUAUGGUCUAUUUGUGAUCACAACAUAAGAGUUCAAAUUCAUAAUUAUAUUUCAUUUUAGUAAAUGAAUAAAUUGGAGUGAUUGAUACCGCCGGUUAUAGGUGGAUGCAAUCGAGCCAUAUACUACUACUGAACUUUGUAGAUCCCAUGUCAUACAAGUCAAGACAAAAGCACUCCUUUCGGGAAUUCUUGGUGAUGACUUGUUGAAGUUAUGAUCGUGUAUACAAUAUCUCAUGUUUCAGUCAUAAUAUUUGCAUAAAUUGACUUAUUACCGGUAUAUUUUAGUAAAGUUGUCUGCAUAGAUAUAUAAAGUUCAUGAACCUGAGGGAGGAUAAACAUAAGGUGGAUAAAGAAGUAUGCAUAUAUAUAUAUAAUAUGAGAUAUUACACUUUUUGAGGAUGCUGCACUCCAUAUAAUCUAUAAUCUUCCAGGUGGGAAAUACUAUCAUAUGAUCUAAAUAUUGAAAUAUGACUCAUGGAUUUCUUUCUUAAAAAUCAAGUUUUAUUUAUUAUAUUUAAUGACGUGUUUAUAUGAAAUUUGCAACAGUACACCAAUCGUAUGUCAAUAGAGAUGACUCGAGAAUUCUGAAACAUGACACACUUCAUACGUACUUUUCAUAACAUAGAAAGGUCUCUUAAUUCCAUUACAAUAGCAAACGCAAACAGGUAGUCCACUGUUUGCUUAUUCACACCAAAACACACGAGCUAAGAGUGCAGCUUAAUUCAUUCCUCCGACUAGUUUUUCUUCGCGAACUGAGCCUGAAGCCAGUCGACAAGCUUCUUGUCCACUUGGAAAGCCUUGGCGAGGAUUUCAUCCGAGAUGGGGGGAUUCGCCCCGAACACAGCAUCGGCGAUUGUGAUGGUGCCGGGGUUUUGGCUACUGAGAGCACCGAUGGCGAAGGUGUUGGUGUACCCAGGGUUGAACUGGAAGUGGAUGAGGCCUUGAGGGAACACAAACACAUCACCCUUCUUCAGCAUCUUGGUGAAGAGGCGGUUGUCGGUGUUGGAUGUGACGAAGCCGACUAAGAGCUGUCCCUCUAUGACGGUGAGGAUCUCGGUGGCACGGGGGUGAGUGUGGGGCGGGUUGAGGCCUUUGGGGAUGUAGUCGAUGCGAACCAUGGAGAUGCCGAGGGUGUUGAGUCCUGGAAUCUGCAUCACGUUGGCAGGCGUGACAUUGAACCCGAACUUGUUUCCGGUAUCGCCAGGCAUGUCGAG
RNAcentral lists this long non-coding RNA (3713 nucleotides) under Musa acuminata (dwarf banana). RNAcentral's name for it is "long non-coding RNA (MACU_LNC002928)". Lineage: Eukaryota; Viridiplantae; Streptophyta; Magnoliopsida; Zingiberales; Musaceae. The record is from RNAcentral.